This 489-nucleotide long non-coding RNA is filed under the name Elaeis guineensis (African oil palm). RNAcentral describes it as "long non-coding RNA (EGUI_LNC019069)". The record is from RNAcentral. Lineage: Eukaryota; Viridiplantae; Streptophyta; Magnoliopsida; Arecales; Arecaceae.
ACCACCAGAGAAAAAGGUAUAACAAAAGGGGGACUUCUCUUCCCCGCAUCAACACCUCAAAUCUUAACGAUCUUGGCGGCCCGGACGACGGGGUUCUCCCGGGCGAUGGCUUCCCGGCCGGCGGCCUUGUAGUCGAAGCUGCAGUCGUGGCGGUCCGAGUACCGGUGCUCCACGCAGAACAGAUUCCCGCACCGGCACCGAAACCCCGUCAGCCCCACCCUCUUCCGGCAACCCGCGCACCGGUUCACCCGCCUCGCAGACGCCACCCCCACGGCAGCGGCCGCGGUGGCGGCAUCAGUCUUGGCCGCCGGCGAUUCAGCACCUCCCCUCCCUGCUUCCACCGCCGGAUCUGGCGACCGGGUCGGGGUGGAGCUGGGCUUCUCGUGGCCGGAGCGGGACGGGGGCGAGGGGGAGGUGAAUCCGGCAGCCUGGAAGCAGGCUUGGCACAUGUUGUUGGUGGCGGGGUUGCCGUAGAAGCCGCAGUUGUUG